AUUUCUCAUUUCAUCAAACUCAAUGAAGCCUACAUAAACACGACUAUUAAUAUAUAUGUUUGAUAUAAAUUGCACGUGCAAAUUAAUAAGAAAAUUAACAUCUUGGGAUCUUCAGGCUUUCAAUGAAUAUCAUCAUUAUACUGAGUUGAACAAUGAUUUGCAUUCAGAUUCAUAGUAAUAUUCAUUAUGAUAUGCAUUCAAAUAAUUUUGAAUGCAUAAUUAGUUUGCAGAGCACUGAUUCUAAAUGAAAGGACAAUUAAUUUUAGCUUAUCUUUGCCACAUCCCAUUUAAAAGAUUUUUACUGAUGCUCCUAUAACCAUGAUACCACAUAAUUUAUAAAUAAAACCCCUGAUCCGCAAACGAUCAUCUGUCCUUUCUAUUAAGAUUAUUAAAGAAACACUACCAUUAAAAUUACAAAAAAAGAAAAAAAAAAUGGGUAGAGGACGGAGUUCCCUUCGUGGCUCAGUACCAACUCAAUACCGUAGCCUAAUGAACCCUACUAGGAUCCAUGAGGAUGUGGGCUUGAUCCCUGGCCUCACUCAAUGGGUUAAGGAUCUGGGGAUCCGGCACUGCCAUGACCUGUGAUGUAGGUCGUAGACACCACUUGGAUCCAGCGUUGUUGUGGCUGUGGCGUAGGCCGGCAGAUGUAGCUCCUAUUCGACCCCUAACCUGUAGUGUGGGAGAGAUUUUUCUGAUCCAUUUAUUAUUUGCUUUUGUAAUUUUCAGUUUAAAAUAAUUUCAGAUUUACAGAAAAGUUGCAAGAAUAGUAUAAAAAACUCCUGUCUAUCUUUCACCCAGAUCCCCAGCUGUUAACAUUUUGCCAUAUGUGCUUCACCUCUCUCUCUGUAGAGAGAUAGAGAGAUAAAGAUAUACAUACACAUAUAUAUGAUAUAGAUGCACAUAUAUACAAAUUACUCUUUUCUGAACCAUGUAGUCAUAAGGUGCAGUCAUGAUAUCCCCUUACCCCUUAUAUAACUAGUAUAAUUUCCAAAAUUAGAAUAUUAACAGCCUAUUAUUCAAUACUAUUAUCAAACUUUCAGACCUUAUUUAAAUUUUACCAGUUGUCCCAAUUACCUCUUGUAAAGCAGAAAAAAAUCAUCUCUACCCUCAUUUAAGAAAAUAAAGUCUUAGUAAUCUUUAUCAAAAACUAAUGUAUGAAUUAAUGUAAAAUGGGAUUCAACCAGGUAUCAUUGCCAGGCCAUAUGUGUGACUGAAAGAUUAAGUAAUGUAGUUAUUUCUUCAAUAAAAAUCACCAAACAUGAUCAUGAUGAGCCCCUUCCUUUGUUAACAUGUUGUGGUUGUAAUGAAUGAAUGAAAAAGUGAUUAAAGGUUCAUGUUACUACUUUAUUUUUACACAUUAAAAAUUUAUCUUUCCCUCUAGUGACAAAAUAUUUUUCAAAAAUCUAGUAUGAACCCCUAGUCGGUUGAAGAGACGUGAGAAUGAAGUAAGUAUAUGAACAGGGGGCCACUAGAAAUGGCAUCACAAGUGUGUAGGUUGGCCUUGAUCCCUGCUGUGAAAUGAGCUUCCUACCAGUGGUAUUAUUUUACUUACAACAUCCAAUCUACUGUCAAGAAGAGGGAUGGAGAAGGACAUAGUCCCUGUGUCAGAAGACAUCACCCUAGACUAGUGAAGUUCCUUUUAGCACGGGCAACAUGGAUCGAUUUGCGUUACGGGAGUAUGAUAUGUGAGGUCAAUUUUUGCUUUUAUUGGACUCCUUGUGAUAUGAAGAGGGGAGUCUAAUCACUGACUUUGGCAUAGCAAUGAUCAGAUCACUUCUGGAAAGAAUCUGCAAAAUUUAUUCAGCAGCCUUUAUUCUGAAUGAAUUCCACUAGGCAUUUCUCCCCACCUCCCAAAAAAUAUUUCAACUACAACAAAGCCUUAGACACAGAAGUGUUCAUAACAUCAGUACUAAGAAGAAUUAAAACAAAAACAAAAAUAGGGGCUCUCCCUGAUUAUACAUACCUCCCCAGGCAGUGAGCGGGCCUUGCAGGCUUGGCCCAAGCUGGAGUCCCUGGUCCCAUGAACACUGAUUAGACCAAGGUGUCCUCCCCAACUGGCCCAUUUCUUGUUUUGAAUGGGCCCAUUCUCCAGUUCCCGAUUUUGUGAAACAUAAUGAGAGCAAGCGGAUCACAAACAAGCAAGUAGGGUCCAGAAUGCUUGCCGAACCACAAUGCAAAGUUUGUCUGGGCCACCCUUAAGCAGCUACUGAGUGCUUGGUGGGUGAAAUUCUUGAGCUUGUUUAAAGAUCCAGAAACUUGAUUGACAGUGUUAGUAUUAUAAGUGACUUUUUCCCUGUUUUUCCAUAUGCUCCCAUUUUCAAAGAAGAACAAUUAUUAAUUUUAUAAUAAUUUUUAAAAGGUGUAUGAAAAUGAAUCCUUUGCUAAAUGUUUUAUAUGGCACAUAGAAUGAUAUGAAUUGUAAAAAAAUUAUUUAUUGAGUUAUGCAGCUGGAGCUAUGAAAAGUACUUUCACCAGUGCUUACAUGGACAUUUAAUAAUCUCAUCUGGUGCCAUGUUCUACUUCUGUAUUUUGAUUAUGACUAUCUCAGCUCACAUGCAGUUUGUUCAAGCCAAACAUCUAGAGUCAUUGGUUGCCAGACUUCUCCAAAUUCCACAAUUAAAUCAGUUACAACAGCUGCCAAUGCUACAAUUUUUUUCCUAAUUUCUCCUCUCUAUUUCAUCACUGCUUUGCAUCCCUCAUUAUCUUUUUUGUUUGUUUGUUUUUGGUGAUUUGUCUUUUUUAGGUCUGCACCCACAGAAUUUGGGGGUUCCCAGGCUAGGGGUCCAAUCAGAGCUGUAGCCGCUGGCCUACACCACCACCACAGCAACAUGGGAUCCGAGCCUCGUCUGCAACCUACACCACAGCUUACGGCAAUGCCAUACCCUUAACCCACUGAGCAGGCCCAGGGAUCAAACCCACAUCCUCAUGGAUGCUAGCCAGGUUCACUAACCACUGAGCCACGACAGGAACUCUGCAUCCCUCAUUAUCUUUUGACUAGACUCUCUGAGUCAGUUGGUUCCAGACUACGCUGGGUAAGAAACCAAGUCUGAAAUCUGAGUGGCAUACCAGAUUACAGAUUCAUUUCGCUCACAUAGGAAGUCCAUUGGGAGAGAGUUGAUUCUCUGUUGCAGCCAUCCUUUGUAUCAGGACAGCAAUUCAAGCUGCUUCCAACCUGAAGGAACAGUGCCCCAACAGUGGUACCCAGAGGGGAAGAAAAGAAAAACAUAGAAUGGAGCCACGAAAUGAUUUAGAGUUGGCCAGAACUAGGUACAGUCAAAGAUCCUAACCUAAGUAAAAGGGAAGCCAGGAAACGAGGGGCGUACAUGGACAUUUAAUGAGCAUCAUGUCUUUCUACCAGACUCAGUGCCUCGUAUCUCCAGUCGCCCUCCACACUGGAUGUAUUCUACCUGAAAUGACAACUGAUCAACUUGGUCUUUUUUGUUUCCAAAGAACUCUCAAAUGACUGUGUAGCAUCUAGAGUAGAAUUUUUCAAACCAUUAUUUCAAAGAAGUGAAUUUUCAAACGGUUGAAUUGAAUAUACACAUUCACAUAUUCAUAAAUGAAAAUGUUUUAAACUGUCAUAAGAAUGCAUAAUCAAAUACUUUAUAAAUGAUUUCUUGUAUCAAAGUUUAUAUUUGAUGAAAAUAUGCAUUGUUAUUAUAUUAAUGUAAUAUUAAUUACAUUAAUUACAUUAAUGUUAUUACAUUAAUAUUGACGUAAUAUUAAUUAAUGUAUAUAUUAAAGAAUUAUGUCAUUUUUGUAUUACAUAAAGGUUGAAACUGAAAAUAUACUAAUAACGGAGUUCCCAUUGUGGUUCAGUCGGUAGGUUAAGAGCCCACCAUAGUGCUCCUCAGGAUGUGGGUUUGAUCCCUGGCCUUGCUUAGUAGGGGGAGGAUAUGGCAUUGCCGCAAGCUGCGGCAUAAGUCACACAUGCAGGUUGAAUCCCAUGUUGCUGUGGCUGUGGCAUAGUCGUGCCCCUGAAGCUCCAAUUUGACCCCUAGCCUGGGAACUUCCAUAUGCCAUAGGUGCUGCUGUAAAAGGAAAAAAUAUAUAUAAUUUUACUUCUACUUGUUUAUGUAAUUGGUAUUCUAGGUUGGAUUAUAUCAUGUGGUAAAAAGGGAGCCGUACAGUUAAAAACAGCUGGGAAGCACGGACCAGUACACUGAGCUAUAAUCAUGUCAGAAACAUCUACACAAGCUUCAGUGGCUUGGCUUCUUGCCAUUUUCAACUUCCCACAUUAUCCUCCAAUAGUUCUGAAUGCAGGCAGUUUCUAGAGCAUCACGCUGUUUCCUUUUCCUGGAACAAUACCCUCCCUUCCCAUCCCACUUCAUCCCCCAAAUCCAUGCCAAUAUUUUGAGACACUAAUAAGAUACCAUUGUUUGGGAUUCUUCUGUGUUUGUAUAACUCCUUGUACACAUGCAUUCAGAAUUUGCACUUAUAAAUUCCCCCCACACACUUACUUCCUUUCUGUAAGUUUCUUGGGGUUAUCCUUGUUCCUUAAAUUAUAGCCCAGAGCAGGCCCAUAGUAGUCUCUCGAUAUACAUUUUUAAGAUGCUGAAAUGCACACUGACUAAGUCAUUUAAUAAAUUUUACUGAACACAUUAUAUUCCAGCUGAAAUUUACUCACAGCUAAUAAGAUUUCCAGAGUGGUUCUCCCAUUAGUAGAUACAGAAAAAUAGACAACAGGUACUCAGAAUAAGUUUAGCAUAGAAAUUACAGAGAAAUAUGCAUCAAGUGCUGGAUUUUCUUUUUGCAAGUCAAUACCAUCUCUGAUCUAAAGACUCCAGAAAACCGUAAGUGAUUUUUUUCCUCAGAAUUCUUUGCCAGCAGGGUCCCUCAAAUGAGGGUUAUAUUUCCUGAUCAAAAGUAUUUGGUAUUUGAAAGGAUUCCAGGAAGAAGAGCAUUAAUUGGAAUCACCUGGGAUUGUUUAUCUAACCCGGUUAGAUCUGAAGGCAAUAAUGACUUCAUUGGCAGCAGAAACGUGAGCAUUGAUCGUCCCUGGCACACAAGUGGCAAAGCAUUUGCUUAAAUUAUCAACUUCAGUUUCCAGGAAGGAACUGCCUACUAAACCUCCUCUGACAGCAGAAGCUGGCACUUUCCCUAUAUGAUUAGGCUACACCAUGCCCAUAAUUGAAAACUCCCUAAUGACUCCACUUGAUUAACAAGAACAGGGUGGGCUAUGAAGCAGUAGCAACAACCACAAAACCUCGGUGACUUAACAUAACAAGAGUGUAUUUCUCUUCUGUGCUACAUGCUCAGUGAAGAUAGUCGGGGACUUUGUUCCAUGCAGAUGCUCGUGGACCCAGAUUGGCUUAAGAUCAUCCAUCUUGCAGGCGAACUGAUGGAGGACAUGUAGCUGUUGCUGAGGAAGAAAGAAAGGGAGCGUCCCAAACCAGUUCUCAAAUCCCUCAGCCUAAAAGUGACACAUAUUAUUUCUGUUCACAGCAUGUUUACACGAACUAGACACAUGGCCCCCUGAAACUGCAAGAAGUAUGAAAAAUGUGAGGCGAUGGGGCUAUUUAGUGUGAAGAAAAUAUCUCGUCCCCAUCACCAGAGGCAGUUACCUUGCAAAGGGUGCUGAUAUUUUUCAAGACCUGCCUUUGGCAGGCUGCAUGCCUCUGGACCCCAUAACUAGAGUCAGAUACCAGCAAAUCUAAGACCUUGAGUGCAAGUCUAAACCAAGAGGAGAUCAGUUACAAGCUGAAAUAAUUAAAAGCUUCUGCCAGGCUUUAUCAAGAGACAUCUGAGGAGUAUGGUAGGAAUGAACUCCAAAGCUUCCAGAUGAGGCAAGAACAGAUAACAUUGUAUCAAGUCAGAUUUUUGAAAUACCUAUAUUUACUCAAAACUGUGAAUUCAGUGUUAAACAGCCAGAUGUUUUUAACAGCGCACUCUGUUUUCUUUGUCUGAAAUCUGGACUCAACCACAAUUUCCUUCAGUAGCAUAGAGCAAUAUUAUUUAGCUGGGAAAAAUUAUGCCCCCCUCCUUUUCCAUUGGAAAAUUGUCAGUGUCUGGAGACAUUUCUUCAUUGUCAUCACUUGGAGGGAGGAACGUCUGGACUCUAGUGAGUAGAGACCGGGGAUGAUGUUAAACAUCCCACGUGGCACGUGACAGCCCCUCACAACAAAGAAUUAUUAUUUGGUCCAAAAUACCAGUAGUGCCAAGUUGAGAAACGCUGGUAUAGGGAAGUUGGGAAGAUCAGAGGAUGAUAAGCUUAGAGUAGAUUUAUCACGCAGAACCAGUCAUCUACUUCCAAACCCCAUCACCUUGGUUGGCUUAAAGGACACUUCCUUCUCCAAGGCAUUAACACAUUGCUGGGAGCACUGGUGUAUUUGUAAAACUUUGUGCUGACUUUCUUCUAUCUCCCAGUGGUAGCAGAGGGAGAGACUGCCUCCGAAAGGAGUUCCCUAAUAUGACUGUGGAUGAUGGGAUUUUGCAGCACCGGGGCCCUCGGGCAUCUGUAGGCAUUUCUAACAGUGACUACACCCGAUCCUGUCUCUAGGACUGAAAUUGAUGAUUUAUUGUCAUUUGAAGAGGCAAAGAGAAUGCAACCCCAAAUGUAGCAAUGAUGUAAGUGCAUCAGGAAGUUAUUUAAUAAAAAAAUAAUGUUAUUUUUCAGGACUUGGUGAGAAUUUGGGAUUUUGUUACGCAUUUUAUUUAUUUAUUUGUUUGUUUGUUUGUUUGUCUUUUUAGGGCCACACCCACAGCAUGUGGAGGUUCCAGGCUGGGGGUUUAAUUGGAGGCAUAGCUGCUGCCCUAGGCCACAGCCACAGCAACUCGGGAUCCGCUUCUGCAACCUACACCACGGCUCACAGCAACCCUGGACCCUUAACCCACUGAGCAAGGCUAGAGAUCGCAACCUCAUGGGUCCUAGUCGGAUUUGGUUCUGCUGUGCCACAGCAGGAACUCCCCGUUAUGGAGUUCCUGCUGUGGCGCAGUGGGUUAAGUCUCCGGCAUUGCCACAGUUGUGGCCUAGGGUACAGCUGUGGCUCUGAUUAUGAUCCUUGACCCAGAAACUUUCAUACGCUGCAGGUGCAGCUAAAUAAAUAAAUAAAUAAAAUUCAUAACCUGUGAUUUCUCAUUCUAAAUAAAUAUUUAUUUUCAUACCUAAAAGAAGAAAAAAAGAGGAGUUCCCAUCGUGGUGCAGCGGAAACAUAGGAACCUUGAGGUUUCAGGUUCGAUCCCUGGCCUUGCUCAGUGGGUUAAGGAUCCAGCAUUAUCGUGAGCUGUGGUGUAGGUCACAGACGCAGCUCGGAUUUCACAUUGCUGUGGCUCUGGCGUAGGCCAGUGCCUGUAGCUCCAAUUAGACCCCCAACCUGGGAACCUCCCUAUACUGCCGGUGCAGACCUAAAAAGACAAAAGACAAAAAAAAAAAAAAAAAAAAAAAAAAAAAAA
RNAcentral lists this long non-coding RNA (7392 nucleotides) under Sus scrofa (pig). RNAcentral's name for it is "lncRNA (ENSSSCG00060036498.1)". Lineage: Eukaryota; Metazoa; Chordata; Mammalia; Artiodactyla; Suidae. The record is from RNAcentral.